CUCUGAGUGAUAUACUACUCAGUAUACCCUGCUCAAUGUAUAUAUAAAUAGCCGCAGAAAUCUGUGCUAAGGUAGCAUAAUCAUUUGCCUUCUAAUUAAAGGCUAGCAUGAAUGGGAUAUCAUGUAAAUUCCUUUAUAAAAAGUUUCCUUUACAUUUACUUAUAAGUAAAAAGGCUUAUAUUAUUAGAGGGACGACAAGACCCUAUCAAGCUUUACUUUUAGUUUCACUGGGGUGGUGAAAAAACCAAAUCUUUUAUUUAUUUUAAUAAAUAACUAUAUUUUAAACUAUGAACAAGCUACUGUAGGGAUAACAGCACAAUUCUUGUUUAAAGUUCUUAUUUAAACAAGAGAUUAUGACCUCGAUGUUGAAUAAAAAAUCUAUAAAGAGCAAAUUCUUUAAAAGAAAGUCUGUUCGACUUUUAAUAUUUUACA
RNAcentral lists this ribosomal RNA (432 nucleotides) under Acanthogonatus campanae. Its description in RNAcentral is "partial 16S ribosomal RNA". It matches the Rfam family "Archaeal large subunit ribosomal RNA", at positions 1921 to 2669 of the family's 2987-position model. Lineage: Eukaryota; Metazoa; Arthropoda; Arachnida; Araneae; Nemesiidae. The record is from RNAcentral.